RNAcentral lists this small RNA (28 nucleotides) under Bombyx mori (domestic silkworm). RNAcentral describes it as "ovarian small RNA-28921". The record is from RNAcentral. Lineage: Eukaryota; Metazoa; Arthropoda; Insecta; Lepidoptera; Bombycidae.
UCGGACGUAUGGUUGGAUUAUAGGGGGC